This is an RNA transcript of Camelus dromedarius (Arabian camel), 13828 nucleotides long. It is a transcript of the gene named adrenoceptor alpha 1A, with no coding region annotated. The record is from RefSeq and is a predicted model, not a curated record. NCBI's taxonomy places the organism in Eukaryota, Metazoa, Chordata, Mammalia, Artiodactyla, Camelidae. The transcript is spliced from 4 exons.
CACACAGUUGUGUGCAUUAUGCCUGCUAUCACAGAAUAAUACGGUAACAGCAGGAGAUUACGGUACUAGCUGGGGCUACCGACUGUUACGUCAGCGAGAGCUGCAAAGUUCCUUGCCAUUCUUUGCUGAUGUCGGGGAGCUGAAUAUUAAAAGGGUGAAGGUGGAGUUAUUACUUGGCUGUAUUUUUUUUCUUUUUCCAUUUUCUCCUUUACUUUGAAAAUCUCCAGGUAAAGCGUCUGCGAGCUAGAAGCUUACAAAGGUCUGUGGUACAGAGGUGAGUCAGCGGGCGCAAAAGGAUUAGGAAUUGGUGCGUCGGAGAGACGGUCCUCUCUUCCCCGAGGAAGGAGGCGGCAGGGCUGCUGCUGGGACCGAAAACCGGUCCCCUCCCCGCCGCGCGCGGGCUGGCGGCUCUGCAUCCGCGCUCCAGGAGGACGCUGGCAAACACCGCUCCGCAGCCGCCCGGGUCUUGGCUAACAUUUCGCAUCCACGUCUCCCGGCCUGCGCGCCUAGAAGCUGGAUCUAGCAUGAGUCCAGCCACGCUGUGGGUAACUGCGGGCAGGGAGAAGUGCCCAGAUGCCAACGGUCCCCGCCUUUGAGAGUCGACGGCAGACCAGUACUUGCUUGUGGUUUGGGGGGAGACGGCGCUGGAGUUUUGAAUUCCAAGUUAUGCGCAAAAUGCCGAAUCUUCUAACCUGGACUAAUCAGACAGUGCAGAAAAGGGGACGCCUGUAAUUCUGGGAUUGCAUUUUGCAACACGUCUUUUCGAGCUUCUUGCCAAGUCUCGGGUAGGGAGGGAGCUGGGGCCCCGGGCCAGUGCAGCGGGUGGAGAGGGUCUGCGGGCAGCCCCGCGCGCCCCUGCCAUGUCGCCUUUAAAUGCCCUGCCCCUUUGCGUGUCCAUCCGAGGAUUUCCAGGGCUGGCAGUGGUUGCUUCCCACCUGCACGCUCUCUCUUACCCCUAGACAACCCCAGCAGGCAAGGCUCCCCCGAGCUGAGACCUUUUGACUCCCUGCUCCCUGGCUCCCGCCUCCGCCCCCGCCUGGGGGUGGCCCUCAAGAGCAGGACGUCGCCCGGCCCGGCUGGGACCAUGGUGUUUCUCUCUGGAAAUGUUUCCGACAGCUCCAACUGCACCCACCCGCCGCCACCGGUGAACAUUUCAAAGGCCAUUCUGCUCGGGGUGAUCUUGGGGAGCCUCAUCAUUUUCGGGGUACUGGGGAACAUCCUGGUGAUCCUUUCCGUGGCCUGCCACCGGCAUCUUCACUCGGUCACUCACUACUACAUCGUCAACCUGGCGGUGGCCGACCUUUUACUCACUUCCACGGUGCUGCCCUUCUCCGCUAUCUUCGAGAUCCUGGGCUACUGGGCCUUCGGCAGGGUCUUCUGCAAUAUCUGGGCGGCGGUGGACGUCCUGUGCUGCACUGCGUCCAUCCUGGGACUCUGCAUCAUCUCCAUCGACCGCUACAUCGGCGUGAGCUACCCGCUGCGCUACCCCACCAUCGUCACCCAGAAGAGAGGUCUCAUGGCUCUGCUCUGCGUCUGGGCGCUCUCCCUGGUCAUCUCCGUCGGGCCUCUGUUCGGCUGGAGGCAGCCGGCCCCCGAAGAUGAGACCAUCUGUCAGAUCACGGAAGAGCCGGGCUACGUGCUCUUCUCCGCGCUGGGCUCCUUCUACGUGCCGCUGGCCAUCAUCCUGGUCAUGUACUGCCGGGUCUACGUGGUGGCCAAGAGGGAGAGCCGGGGCCUCAAGUCCGGCCUGAAGACCGACAAGUCGGACUCGGAGCAGGUGACGCUCCGCAUCCAUCGGAAAAAUGCCCCCGCGGGAGGCAGCGGGGUGUCCAGCGCCAAGAACAAGACGCACUUCUCCGUGAGACUCCUCAAGUUCUCCCGGGAGAAGAAAGCGGCCAAAACCCUGGGCAUCGUGGUCGGCUGCUUCGUCCUCUGCUGGCUGCCUUUCUUCUUAGUGAUGCCCAUUGGGUCUUUCUUUCCCGAGUUCAGGCCCUCAGAAACAGUUUUUAAAAUAGCGUUUUGGCUCGGAUACCUAAACAGCUGCAUCAACCCCAUUAUAUACCCGUGCUCCAGUCAAGAGUUUAAAAAGGCCUUUCAGAACGUCUUGAGAAUCCAGUGUCUCCGCCGGAAGCAGUCUUCCAAGCACACGCUGGGCUAUACGCCGCACCCACCCAGCCACACGCUGGAGGGCCAGCACGAGGACCUGGUGCGCAUCCCAGUGGGAUCAGGAGAGACCUUCUAUAAGAUCUCCAAGACGGAUGGGGUCUGUGAAUGGAAAUUUUUCUCUUCCAUGCCCCGUGGAUCUGCCAGGAUUACAGUGUCCAAAGACCCAUCAGCCUGCAGCACUGCCCGGGUGAGAAGUAAAAGCUUUUUGCAGGUCUGUUGCUGUAAGGGGCCCUCGACCCCCAGCCACGGAGAGAAUCAGCAAAUUCCAACCAUUAAGAUCCACACCAUCUCCCUCAGUGAAAACGGGGAGGAAGUCUAGUGGACAGGAAAGGUCAGAAGGAAGGGGGGAUGAUCGCAGGCACCCAUCCACUUCCUACCAGGAAGGUCAGUUCGCUUUUCCUGGAUGACAAGACGUCACCAUUAAACCAGGGACCGUCUGGGAACGGGCUGAGAAGGAGACCCGACUCUGGGUAGCGGGUAGGGCUCAGGGAAGAGUGAGGAUGUCACACAGCCUCCCAGGUCACACUGAUGAUAAACAGCAUGUCCUUGAGGCAGAUCCUCUCUGGGUCAUCCUCUGAGCCCGCUUUCCACGCCUGGCCCUUUCAACGAAAAACAGCAUGGGAAACAGAAUUUUAUACACAAUCCAAAAGACUAUAAAUAUAGGGUUGUGAUUUCAUCCUGAAUAUUUUGAGCACGCACUCUAAGUUUGGAGCUAUUUCUUGGUGGAGUGAGGGGAUUUUAUUUUCAGGCUAAACUUGCAUGCAGCCACAUUGGAUAUUUACAGGGAGAGGGCCUGGAGAGGAAGAGCCUUAAGAUGGUGGCCGAUAUCCAGACACAUUAUUUUUAGAGCGAGUUUUAAAUGUCACCAUUUAUGAGACAUCCAGUUUCUCAGCUUGGGGGUGAAACUUGACCGUGAGAUUUACCUUUUGCUGCAAUUUGACCGGAUUCUGCUCCCGAUUGCCUAAGGACUAUUAACCAUGAAACUACCUGCACACAGCUCCGCCCGAGCCUGGUUGGAACACUGGUGGCACCUGCUCCUUGUCUACAAACUGUGCUGUGGAGCAGGCUGAGCCCAGGCUGCUGUGGGCUCUACCAUCUUCAAAAAGCACCGGGAGCCAUGGCCUCUGGCCCUCCAAAGUCCCUGCAAGACGAGUGAGUGGAGAUGACUGUUGUGGGGCUGGGCUGGCAAAAGCGAGCUAGGAUUUGAGCCGAGGAUACGCGACCUCUUGCCAGUGCUCCCAUCAGCUUUACCUCUUUCACGUGUCCCCGGACCCAAAUGUCUUGGGGGCUGAGGAUGGACCUUAUCUGCUCCGUAUAGGAAAAGAUCUCAUCUUUGCACCUGCAACACGGACUACUGAGUCUCUCACCUAAAGGCAAGGCCAUGGCAGGUGGGAGGAGGGUGUGGAGGAAGAAGGCUGACCAUGGACAUGGCUCAAAGCAGGAUGGCUUUCGGUAAUGUGUUGUUGCAUUUGAUAAACAAGGAACUGCCCUAAAGCUGAUGCUUUUUCAUUUCCAAAGACAAAAUAAUUGUCUUGACCUGUGGCUCAGGAGUUAACUCCGUUACCUUCCCUCCAUACCAUAGUCAAUGUUGCACGUAAUAGGCUAGAAACGAUUAUUGCUAAACUAUGAGAAAUACAGAUUUAAUUAGGAAAAAAAAUCUAAGAGCAAAUUCAUACUGUAUUUGGUGGGAAAAAAAUAAUGAAGGCACUGAUCUGUGAAAAAGCGUGAAUACAGUCGGUGCGUUCAGAUGUGACAGAAAAGAAUCUACAGAAAAUCACAACAUGAGUUCAGUAUUUUCUCCUAUUGAUACAAUUCUUCAUACUGGUCAGGGUUCUUUUGCUUGUCCCAAGGCAUUCCUGUGAGGGAGAAAGUGAAGAAAGGAAUUACUGUCUCUACUUAGCACAUGAAGAAACAAGGGGAAAGAUGAGGUGAGGGUUAAGGGUUUCUUUGAAUAUCCCCAAAUCCAGCCUCUGACUUCUUUUUCCAAGAUGCCUUCCAUUUCCCCAGCGUCCGCUGUGUUUCUUGAGACCCUGACAUUCGUGUUUCACUCACUCACCUCUGAGCCGUGCUUUCGGCUCCGUGUGCACCCUCUCUCCUGCUGCAUCUCUGCCCCCAGCUGGGCCAGUCAAGAUUGUUCAAGGGGCUGAGUGCAUAUCUGUCUGUGCUUCUCCCAGUGGCUAAAAGACCAGCAGUAGAGCUACGCAGAGAAGCAGGCCAGGGGGCUCUCGGCUUGCUCAACGGGGUGAUGGGUCAGGAAAAGCCAGCAGUGACUGACACCUUAAGGACUUCAGGAACGCCAGGGUCUCAGCGGGAGUUUGGGGAAUGUUUGUUUUCCAGUGAGCCUGAGGGUUGUGUACGCCCCAGUCAUCUCCCAUCAGCAAGCCGUUCCCUUCUUCUCCUGCACCAGGCACUGUACUUGGCAGAAAAAAAAAUACAGAAAGGCACAGACAGUCCCCAGCUUAUGAUCUGGGUGUGUUCCAAGCUCAUUGGUUGCAUUUUUUCCGAGAGGCAUUGUUAGAGAUGGGGGCAGGGAAGGAUGCUCUCAGAAGAACCAAAAAAUUAAAACUCCACAUAAUGGACACCAGGGGUUGGCAAACCUUUUCUGUAAAUGGCAUGUGGGCCACACAGUCUUGUCACAUAGUUUUCUAUGUUUAAUUUUUUUCUUUUUUUGUUUUUUUGGUUUUUUGUUUUGGACAACCCUCUAAAAGUGUAGAAACCAUUCUUAGUUCACAGGCUGUACCAAAAAACAGACCAUGGGCCAGAUUUAGCCCACGGGCCGUAAUUUGCCAUCCUCAAUGGCUGGCAUCACUAGUUUACAGUGUCGUACAAAUCCUGCUAGGCCGUAGGAUUUUUUUAAUUUUUAUAAUAUACCCUGACACAUCGACACUUGAUGACAUUAAUGUUCCCAAACUGGAUGAGUUGUUAGGGAGGGUGAGCAGUUCACAUUCAGGGCUGGCACUUGCUCCGUAUGACCUGCUCACCCAAAGGAUGUACUUUAGUCUGUCAUUGAUUUCCAGCCCGCCCUCCCACUGCCGGAUUCUGCAGGACAGCAGGUCAGCGGAAGCCCCGGGGAGUCCACACAGGUCUUUGCAGCCCUUCACCUCGUCGGCAAAGUGCCCAAGACAAUCUGUCAGCUCUGAGGGUAGCAAUAGCCAGUCAGAGCCAUUGGACCGAGGCCGGUAUGAAAUUCCUCCCAGACCCCUGGAGCCAGCUGAAGGGAGUUCCCUGGAGGCCACGCUUGGCUCCUUGGGAAGGUGUCCUGACCACAGCAUCCAGCACCAGGGCAUCUGAGGGUCCUCCCUGGGACUCACCCGCACGUGGGAUCCAGAGGAGGUGCUGGGUGGGAGGAUGGCUGCCUGGCAGGACCUCUUUCCCUCCUCCUCUGUCUCCUCCUCCUUUUCCUUCUCUUUCUUUUUAAGUCGGAAAUGACCUAACUAGCCUCAAAAUGGUGUUUCUAAGGGAAACAUAUUUGGCCUUCCCCUAGGAUGAUUUCUCUGAGCUGGCGCUUUGUGGGAGGGGCCUCCUGCCCUGGCCCCUCCCAGUCCUGACGGGGCGCUGGAGGGAGGAAGUGGUCCCAGUUGGAAACAAGGUGUGCAGUUCCCCUGGCCCAGGGCAGGGAGUGCCCAGCACUGAGAGAUGGCCGUAGAAUGGUGGUGGCAGCUGACCUGAUCGGGAAGGACCUGGGAGCAUCAUGGCCAGCGGACAGUGACACCACUGCUGCGGUGGACGCAGAGGAAAGGCUCGGCCCAACCCUGUGAGGCAGCUUCCCUUCCCUCCCCCUGGCCCUGUCUGUCUUCGUCCCUCCCUUCCUUCUUUCCAGUCUCCUCUCCACAGUCCUUCCCCUCUCUCCAUCAUUCCACCCUCCACUUCUUGCCAAACAUACAAGCAGUGAUGAUGUCGGGGCAGGUGCCCUCGCUCCAGAGGGUGCCGUUUCCCAUGGGAUACGUGCUCCCAACACAGUCCUGGGUCACCAGAUGGGGCUCCCCUCAGCUGCUCCAUCCCCUCCCACGCUGAGGACAGAGACGGCCCCCGGGGUGAGCGCACACGCGAGGCUCCCCAGGGACACUUACCCUCUGCCCGAUUGCCAUGUCUGUCUUCUUAUACUAUUAGUUCCAAAUGAAGGCUGCAAAUGCCACACGCAGUCACAUCUUAGAAAAGAGCUGUCGUCAGGAUGGCUUCUUUGCCCCUCCCUAGAUGUGCGUCUCUCCUUUCAGCAGCUGCCACCUCUCCCCUCUUACAGUUCAGAAGUCUUUACCAAGCCCUACAGAGUCCCCUUCCCUUUCUCUUCUUCAUCAUUUGUCCCUCCCUUUGAAUCUUGCCUAAGUACACCGGAGAGCCUCUGGUGUCUUGAUUAACCCUGUAAAGUGAACCGGGUUUCGUGUUAGCGUGACGCAGCGAUGAUUCGCCCAGAAGGGAUCCUGCAGGCAAAACUCAACUGGGUCCAAGGAGGGCCUUCUCUUCUGGAGCUCCCGUGCCCUGUCCCGCGCCCACCAGCCCCCCUGCGCCUGGACCUUGAUCGUGGACUCUUUCUAUUCCUUCAUCCUGUCCUUGCACCGGGAGCCUUUCUACUCCAAGCCAAGGAUCCUCUCCCACCAAACAUGCAUCUGCGUCUGCUGACACAGCUCCUAGCGUAUGUAGCCCGCCUGUCUUAGUCAGCUCAGGCUGUCAUUACAAACUACCACGCAGCGGGCGGCUUAAACAGCAGGCAGUUACUCUCCCAGAAUCUGGAGGCUGCAAGUCUGAGAUCAGGGUGUCGUCGGGGCUGGCUCCUCCUGAGGCCUCUCUGCUUGGCUUAUGGAUGGUCGUCUUCUCGCUGUGUCCUCACCUGGCCUUCCCUCUGCGUCUCCUCUUCUUACAGGGACACCAGUCCUGUUUGAUUAGGGCCCAAGCCAAUGACCUAAUUUAACUGCAGUUGCCUCUUUAAAGACCCUCACUCCAAGCACAGUCCCCUUCUGAGGUCCUAGGAGUUAGGAUUUCAAAUAUGAAAGUUAGGACAUGGGUGCACGAUUCAGCCCUUAACACUUCCCUCCCCACUGUCUUCAUUCCGCCCGUAAAAAUGCAUCCACGAUUCUUUUCCAAAUCCAGAAGUUCACAUUCAAGCCUUCUCGGUCACCCUCUCCAAGUUCUUACAGCAAUUGUCCAGAAAAUAUAUUUGGAUGCUUUGUUGUGCAUUUUAUUGUGAUCUUUCUGUUGCUUUUCAAAAUCUUUAUUUUUUCACUUUAAAACAUCCUUGACGCUCUAUGUAGGUUUCAUCUUCUCAACUAGAUGAAAACUCCUGGAAGGCAGGAACAAUCAUACCAUUUCAUAUGCCCACGGCAGUGCUCAGCCCCUGGGUGGUCCUAUCUGCAGCCUGGGAACCCUCCUAAGCAGGCAAGGAGGAAGGAGACAGAGAGCAGCAAAGGAUGACUAAUCCAAGCACUAGUUACCAGCAGGAGCUGGGGGACAGGUGCACAGAUCCCUGGGGACACCCGAUGACCCACCAGGAAGGUUCAGGUAAUAGUUGAUGGUGCUGGGAUUCUGAAAAGAUACCGUAAGAUUCUAAUCAGGGUGCAGAGCUCAGCAGUGGGGAGUCCCAGGCUGGUGACCAUCUCCAGGCCCGCGGGCAUGGGAUCCCUUUGGAACCAUCAAUGAAUGGGACACAUGCUAGACCCUGAGAGAAGAUGAGAUAGAUCAAGAGGCAAAGGCAGAGCCCAGCCCUGGGAGACGGGUCUCCGAGGCACCCAGGGGAGGCUGAGAUCACCACGGAGCCCCAGUGCCAGCCCUGGAUGAGCUACUUCUGUUUCAAUGACGUCUGCCCUCCAUCAGGAUGAGCUUGGAAAUGGGUGCCAACAAGCCUUCUGGUAGCUUUUCCUCUGCUUUGUCUCACAUUUGAAAAGGAAAGGAAAGGAAGGUACGCUGACUUGAUUGGGUAUGAGGUUGGAGACAACCGUUCCCUGCUGAAAGGCCUUUUAAUUCAGACUUUCCGAAGGCCCCCGCCCCGCAUUGCUGCUCAAGCCUUCAGUGACUGCAGGAUAAAAUCCUCGCUGCUGCUGCUCCGGCCUCUUGGGUCCUGCGGCCCUUUCUGUACGACCUUAGGGUACCUUGGCCUGGUCCUCUUGCUUCUCUUGAGAAAAUCUGAUCCCACUUCCGUUUCAUCAACUCACCCAAACCCCUUACUGUAGACAAACGUGUUACCUGCAUGGCGCUUCUCUGACGGCCGUGGAGUGAUGCCUUCUCUUCUGCCUGGUUUUUGCUGAGAAGCAAGAGCAUUUAUCCUCAUUUGGAAGAAUCAGGACUAUUCUAACUGCAAGGCAUCUACUGUCUAACUUUCUGGUCGAAGAACAACACUGCUUCAGCUACCCGUCCCCCCCACAGCCUCUCCCCCAGACUCUCCUGUUGGAAGUAUUUCUGGCCCAGCAAUGUCUGUCACAAGGGAACCCCGUUUUGCCUCAAGCUAUGUGGUUUGCCAGCUUCAGUCUAAUCUAGGAAUUGCAGGGAAAAAAAAAUCACAUGAAAAGGCUGGUCCUCCAAAAGUAUUAAGUGUAUUUAAGCCAAAAUCACCCCAAAACAGGUUUGAAUGAGUGCAGCAAUGGCUGAUUGAUGUACCCAGGGAAAAGAAACAACUUGUCUUUCUUCCCCACUCUGGUCCCCAGGCUUUCUGCUUAAAUCCAGCCUUAUCUUCAUAAUAAAAAGAUUUCAGCUCUGCGGCUUGGCUAAUUGAAGUCUCAAGGGUUGGAAGGCCCUUGAGCACAGUAAUCAAAAGUGGAGCACCAAUGUCAGUGUAUCUUGGUCCCCGCGCCCUCCCCACCCAGGCCCUGCGUCACAGCAGAGGUGACGGUCCUGGUGAAGAGCCAGGAAAGAGGCGGCAUUGAUGGACGAGUAGAUGCGUGAGCAGAUUUAAUCAAAAAGAAAGAUGCUCAGAUUCAACCUGCCAAGUCAGAAGGCUAUUAAAAAGUAACUGAUGGAGUAUCUUAAAGAGCAAAACAAGCAAGGAUUAUAAAUAUUUAAAUAACAAGUUAUUGUUCGUUUUCUAUGUACUUUCUUAAUGGAGUUAAACAUUUAUUAGGGAGCAAUUGAAUAAAAAAGUGUGGUCCCAUUUUCACUCUUGUCUCCAUUUCCAAAAGCUCCCCAACCCUCUGCCUUCCUAGUCUGAACAUCACACACCACCCUGAUACCUAACAUUCAGCACAUGAGAGCAACAGAAAUUUUGCUUCAGCUUUUUAAGAGCCUGAAUCAAAACACAUGCUUUCUUCAUCAGCUGUGCAGGGAGGAAAAUAGCUCUUUGUGUCUCUGGGGUAUCAUAAGCCAUAAGCAAUCCACUCUCCAGUCGUACCACACCUACUUAACCCAAUACUGCAGACAAGGGAGUGAGUUUGCUCCAUACAGCGCGCUGUGAUGAAGCACAUGAAGAGGAAGUUUAAAGAGUAAAAAUCACAUUAUUGGAGCAGCUACUACGUGUCCAGCCCUUUCCAUAUCUUUGAUUUGGUAAAAUAUGAAACUUUACAGUCGCCUUACCAAAGAAGUAUUUUCGCAGAGGACCAAUGCAGUGACGUGGAUGUGAGAAGAAGACGGUACAGGCACAAAGGAAGACUGGGGAAAUGUGAGCCUUCUGAAGUUCACCUGUGCUGGCCUUGCUGAACCCUUGGCCUGACCUUACCCCAGAGUCCGUCAUAGGAGGGGAACUUGUGAGAUUCUGUAAGCAGUGGCCUGGGAGCCACAAGUCCUGGGUUAAUUUCAAGCCCCAACUCUGUCCCUAAUGAGCGAGCCUGGACAAGUCAUGUGAGCUCUCUUGGUCCCAUCACCUCACCUGUGAAAUGGGUGAGCAAAUGAAAUGGUGGAGCUGAUAAAAUGUACGACAGCACAGUAAGCCCCCAGUUAAAGCUAGCCCUCUCCCCCUGUCUAUUUCCCCUCCCGAAGGCUAAAAGAAUAAAACAUUAUUACAAGUUAGAUCACCUUUACUGCAAGCUCCACAGGCAGAACAAGGCAGAACACAUCUUUCUGUUUUCCUUUGCCCUGAAUAGGCUGAUACUGCCUAGGAGCUGGUCACCACCAGUUCAAGACACUGAUUACUCUUUUCGCUAGAAUGGAAGUCACACAAGGAGGCUUCUCCCAUUGCCUGGGCGCUGUCAUUCCUAAAUUUACAGCGCUCGGCAAAAAACCCCCAAAGUUUCAGUUAUUUCUUCACACCCUCCCCCCCCCGACCUCACCCCUGUUUUCUUUGGGUUAGAAAUAUCCCAGCCAGAACAUUUUGUUUUAAUUUUUAAAAGUCACACCCACUGUACUACUUUGAGGCUUUCCAUCAAACUUUCAGAUUAGAGACAGCCCAAAACAAGAGGACCCAGUCCUGGUGUUUGUAAUCUUUCUCCCACUGACGACUUACUUGACAAGAGAAAGUCAUUAUCAUUGUUCUAUGAGAGACACUGUAUAGGAUGCGGUCAUUACAUAAAAGAUGGGUAUGUGUUGAUAUAUCCAAUGUUAUGAGAAAGAGAAGUAAUUUUGACCACUGGAAGACAGCAGAGCAUUCAAAGCAAAACUUGGGUUUAAAAUCAUCUCAGGAAAGAGAGUUGGGCACAGCUUGGCCCAGGAAACUGUCAGAAAUAAGUGUUUACAAAACAAAAUAGCCAAUUCCAGUCAUGAACUAUGGGCAGUUUUGACUUCAGCGGGGAUGAAAACCCACAUCAGGGGAACACAAGCUCGAAUUUCAAGUUCUGCCCGUGAGAGCCUCGGCAUUUCUGUGGACACUUUGAAUGAUCUCCAGGACACUUCUGGGCGAGUGGUUUGACAGGGAAGCCCACACCGCAAGCUCAGCUCAGCCGUACUCAAAAGGCUGAGUCUGGCAGGAGACCUGCCACCAUCUCCCUGCCAAACGGUCUCUCAUGACUCAGAAUCUCAAACUUGUUUUAAACAGAGGGGAAAAGUCUCUUUCCGAGAUGAGCUCCUUGGCCCAGCUCAGCUUUGUACAAACACAAUCUUUGUCUAUUUCGGUCUUGUGGGUUUGGAGAAGCAGCUGCUGAGUUGGGGUGAGGGCGAACGGAUUGGUGAUGGCCCAAAUUAAGGAGAAGAGUUUUCCGUUCUUUCCACGCUGGGAGAAGAGAAACACAGGGAGUAGAAUGUGAUGGGGCUGGUCCCAGGGAAAUGAGGGUGGGCCUUGACUUACAAAAAACCUGCCCGCCCAAGUCAGAACUUGUAAAAAUAAAUACACUGGGCUCAAAGUAAGAAUUCUGAGUCUACAGGAGGGUAAAACUUUGCCCAUGUUGAUGCGUAAUGUCUAGUAUAUUAAAAGUAUUCCUAGACUUCAUUAAAGGUCAUCUGCUUUGGGUUUUGAGGGGACAUACACCCGUUACAGGAAGCUAGCUUCAUGCCUGUGCGUGCUGGUCCUCACCGCCCACUGAAGGGGCGUCUCCGGCCCAGCCCCCUUUCCUGCCACCUACCGUCUCUUCCUUUUUCCAUUGAAAUAUAGUCAAUUUACGAUGCUGUGUUCUACCUACUGUCUUUUGAACCCACCUCAGAAGCGGAGAAGUCCUCCCUGCCAUGUGGAUUUCCUUCUUUAUCAAGCAUUUAUCUGCCUAAAGCGUGAAUCUAACACAUUACUCUUAUCAAUGCUGGGACAAUAGCGACUUAAGAAAUGAUUUUGAAUGUACAGAGAAAAAAGAAACAGGUGUGAGGGACGAGAGCUCAAUGCCUGAGGAGUCAACUUAGUGCAACGCCCCCUGUAGUGUGCUUAAAAGUUAAACGCUGAAGCUCCCUUUGUGUCCCUCAAAUUCUAGUGCAUCCGGAGAAGCAGAAGAAGCCACACUGAAAACAAAAUCACCUUCCUCCAAGGGAAGCUGACUCAUUUUUCCACCCUGUAGUAUCUAGUGAAGGCUCCAAGCACAGGUCCGGAGGGUGGAGAGAAAUGAUGGAGGACACGUGGUCCUGGCCCUCCCCCUCCCCCCCGCCCCCAGUGCCUGUGGUCUGUGGCAUCCAGGCAAGUCAAUUACAGUAGAGCGUGGUAAGCGCUCAGACACAAGCAUUCAUGGUACCACGGGAAUUUAGUGGAAAGCACCCAGUCCGGCCUCCAGUUAGACUUCUCAAGUGGGGUCCUGGAGGACAAAAUACGGUCGGGAGUAGAAGGAGCUGCUCCAAGCAAGGGAGGGGUGCACCCACGCAAAGACCCGGGGGCUGUGAACCUCAAUCAUCGGGUUCUCCUGGACUGCCUCCUCCUCCAGGGGCCCAGGACACAGGGAAGUCAGCCUCGCUUGUCAUGGUAGCCACUUGGUUCCACAAACCCCCAUCCCUCACGUCCUCAGCAGGCAAACCAUGCUGGCUUUUCUUCUCAUUUUUUAAGCCAAGGAAGAGCCAGUAAAUAAUGAGUGCAGGGGCUUUGUCAGCUCCCAUGUUUGGCUCUGCUAGAAAUCGAAAUGCCUUGGUCUCUCAGUCAUCCAAUUCUCUUUGGUCUCAAGACUUUAGUACAGCACUGCAGUGGGAUGGCCACACAGGAAAAAAAAUAAAAGUCUAUUUCUCAUUGUGCAAAUAAACAUUUGCUCAAACAUGAAGUAGGUAACCCAUUAGAAUAACUAAAUGCUUUGGGAGCCUUUACAAGCAAAUCUUACAUGAUGCAAUUGAAUGUUGUUAAAAAUGGAAGAUUUUUUUUUUAGCAAGAAAAUGUGCAAUAAUUUUUAAAGAAAGAGUUUUUUCCUACCAAAUAACACAGAACAUAAUUGGAUCAUUACAAUACCCCCAGAAGCUGGUUUUCCCUUUGUCCAUCAUUGAAAGGCUCAUAUCUUGUGCUGUAUCCAGACACAUUAUUACUGAAGGGUGCCUGGGAUUUUAUUACCAACCAAGGGCAGCAGGGGUGGGGAAUGGAGGCGGGUGGGGACUGAAACAAAAGUAAAGGUCUUGGAGCUGCACUUUUAUAACCUACUAGCAACGAGGAAGGACUUGACUUUCUGGGACGAAGGAAAAGAAAUCUGGAGGUCCACUUUGUUUAUGAAAUUAAAACUGUAUUUUAGUAAAUAAAGCUGAUGCCACUUAAACAUGAACCCCCAUGACAUCCCUGGCUUACUGCAGCUUUGCUGCUUGUCUGCUCAUGAGAUCUGUUCAAAAUACAAGCACAGCAUUCCCACAUUGCCAGAAAAGCAGAUAUGGGCUGAUUUUAGCUGCUAUGAUCUUCCUGUAACCCUUACCCUUGUUGUGGCAAAUAAGAUUCCCACGAGGUACGGUUUCUAACUCUGCAUUGUUCGUGAACCCCGCCUUCUCCAGGUUUUGGUAUUUGAUCAGCUGACUUGAUCUUUCCAACCUUUACCUCCAUGUAACAAAGCUCAUGUGGUCGUGCUGAGAGUUCGGUACAAUGCUCUAUCCUAUAAAAGGCAGAAUUCCCUCAGAUGUCAGAUAAAACGUUCGUGUGUGAAUUGUUAUACUUGAAUUUGCUGCAGCAUUUUGUAUGGAUGCAUAAACAAGACACCCAGGCUGACUGCAAUGGCUUCUAAAGCAUUUAAUUCCUUUUAAACGGACUUACUCUCCAUGGAAUGUGCUGUUCCUGAAUUUUCUACAUGUCAUUUUUACAGAUCCAUUUGUUUAUGAUGUGAUGUGGUAAACAAUCAUGUUGGUUAUUUUUUUAAGAACACAAAUAUAUAGAUUACUAAGCAGAUGAAUAAAUUAUUAAAAGAAUAUACUUUAUGAAUCAUGCAGCCCACUGGUAAAA